UACAGAGGUCUCAAGCGUUGUUCGGAUUCAUUGGGCGUAAAGGGUGCGCAGGCGGCGAGGCAAGUCGGACGUGAAAUCUCGGGGCUUAACCCCGAAACUGCGUUCGAUACUGCCUUGCUUGAGGACUGGAGAGGAGACUGGAAUUCCUGGUGUAGCGGUGGAAUGCGCAGAUAUCAGGAGGAACACCGAUGGCGAAGGCAGAUCUCUGGGCCGUAACUGACGCUGAGGAGCGAAAGCGUGGGGAGCGAACAGG
Molecule: ribosomal RNA, 253 nt
Filed under: uncultured bacterium
Lineage: Bacteria
Description: partial 16S ribosomal RNA
Rfam family: Bacterial small subunit ribosomal RNA
Source: RNAcentral